Molecule: ribosomal RNA, 253 nt
Filed under: uncultured bacterium
Lineage: Bacteria
Description: partial 16S ribosomal RNA
Rfam family: Bacterial small subunit ribosomal RNA
Source: RNAcentral
GACGAACCGAGCGAACGUUGUUCGGAAUCACUGGGCUUAAAGGGCGCGUAGGCGGACUGCCGCGUCCGGGGUGAAAUCCUCCGGCUCAACCGGGGAAGGGCCUCGGAUACGGGCGGUCUGGAGUGGGUUAGGGGCGUGCGGAACUGUGGGUGGAGCGGUGAAAUGCGUUGAGAUCCACAGGAACUCCGGUGGCGAAGGCGGCACGCUGGACCCUUUCUGACGCUGAGGCGCGAAAGCCAGGGGAGCGAACGGG